UAAGCCCUUGUUCUAUAGAUUUGUCUCUAACAUGUUGGGUCUCGGGGGGCUUCCUCUAGAGACUUGGAUGUAAGGGGCUUUACGCAUUCGCAUAACUUAUGAAGUGUGGAUGACUCUAGGAGGGGUCUGAGAAUGUGCUGUGCCAGCCAGGCUGAUAAUUGUUUAAUUGUUAGCUUGGACUUGUACACAGUCUCAUCAGUCUUCAGCUUGGGUCAUUGAUAUUCUGUAAGUCAAAACUUAUCGAUUCACUGUAGUAGGUUGCGGAGGACUUGAAAGUUCUCUCUGCAAUUGAGACACUUACCAGGCCAUCGCAAGUUGGCAGUGUACACUACUGAUUUUACGGUCGUGGGGGACUUGGGAGCUGGUGCUUGUGUCGCAUGAGGUAGAGUUGAUAUGGAUGGAUGGAAGAGAAGCAUAUGUAUGUCGUGGGGGACUUGGGGUAAGACGCCUUGCGGCAAGUAGAGUCAAACCAGUAGUGACUUCUUUUGGUCAUGGGGGACUUUGGUAAUGGUAGUGAGCCGGAAUAAGGGAUGGAUAAAUGUAGUAUGGAUGGUGACAGGGGGAGCAGCAGAGCGUACGCAGUGGGUAUGUAUAUAGUUGAAAAGGGAUGGGCAGUAGAAUUUUGAGGAAUUAAUGACCUAAGGGCGGUUCUAAUAGGCUUGUCGAGAAAAAAGUUAAGUUGAAUCAAGCUGGGUCAAGCAAAGUCUAGAAAAGAUUUAUUG
RNAcentral lists this small RNA (722 nucleotides) under Cryptococcus neoformans. Its description in RNAcentral is "partial contains 28S ribosomal RNA and intergenic spacer; IGS". The record is from RNAcentral. Lineage: Eukaryota; Fungi; Basidiomycota; Tremellomycetes; Tremellales; Cryptococcaceae.